This 433-nucleotide ribosomal RNA is filed under the name Solenocera crassicornis. RNAcentral describes it as "SSU rRNA". It matches the Rfam family "Eukaryotic small subunit ribosomal RNA", at positions 567 to 990 of the family's 1831-position model. The record is from RNAcentral. Lineage: Eukaryota; Metazoa; Arthropoda; Malacostraca; Decapoda; Solenoceridae.
CCAGCAGCCGCGGUAAUUCCAGCUCCACUAGCGUAUAUUAACGCUGUUGCGGUUAAAACGCUCGUAGUUUGCCCUCUGCUCCGGACCGGCGGUUCGCCUUAGCGGCGCUUACUGCCCGGCUCCGAGCUAUGUCCCUGCCGGCGCGCCGGGGGUGCUCUUAAACGAGUGUCCCUCGCGGCCGGCGAGUUCACUUUGAAAAAAUUAGAGUGCUCAAAGCAGGCCACAGCUAAAUGGGCCUGAAUGGUGGUGCAUGGAAUGAUGGAACAGGACCUCGGUUCUAUUUUGGGGGUUCUCUGAACCCGAGGUAAUGAUUAAUAGAAGCAGACGGGGGCAUUCGUACUGCGACGAUAGAGGUGAAAUUCUUAGACCGUCGCAUGACGUCCUACUGCGAAAGCAUCUGCCAAGGAUGUUUUCAUCAAUCAAGAACGAAAGU